CCUCACGUCCUGCUCAGCUGACAGCCCCUGGAGGAGAUGAAGCUUUCAAAGUGCUGGUCUUCCGCCUUCUCUUUGACACGCUGUUCCUCUAAGGAGUCCACGAGUUUGUCCCUUUGCUCAAUCACUUGCAUCAUCUCGUUUCUGCUCCAGUCUGCUUUGGUGAUCUUCUAAUUCCAGUUCUUGGGCCCUGGAGGCAGAAGAGAAGACCCAGACACACCAAGAAGGCCUUGUGAAGACAGAAACAGAUAGUGUGGAGGUGCAGCCACAGGCUAGGAAUGCCUGGAGCUGCAAGAGGUGAUCACUUCAUUGUCUACUAUGGUUCUCCAUAUGACGAGGGAGUUGCAGGCUAUCCAGGGAGCUCACUGCAUGACUAUGUAGGUGCUUGAUGAGGAGAUAUAGAAAUGCAAUUGAUCUUACCAGUUUGAUCUUAUAUCUAUGGACUAUGAUAUUGGAUCUUAUUAUUUUUAAUAAUUUCUUUGGUAUGCCCAUUUGGGUUUUCCAUGUGGGCAAUCUGAAAACAAUAAAAAUGUGUCUCUUCCUUUCCAAACUUUAUGUUGCCCCCACCCCCCACCCCUUGCCUUACUGAACUGGCUAGAAAAGCAUGUACCAAGCUGAAUAGAAGAUGUCAUGGUAGGCAACCUCAUCUAUUACUGAUUUUGAAAAGAAUGCUCCUAUUCAACAAUGUUGCUGCAGGGGUUUGGAAGAGACUCUUCAAAUUAAGAAAGUUCUAUUGCUUCUUUUGCCAAAAGUUAUUUUUUUUUUGUAUCCCAAAUAGAUGUUCAAUUUUGUCAUAUGAUUUUCCUUAUUGUAUUGAAAAGCUCAUAUAGCUUUUCUCUUUAAUCUUUAAAUAUGGAGACUGUCAAAUCACACUUAGAUUGCCAGAAUUUAAAAUUAAUGGGAUUAGUGUUCAUGGGAUUCUUUUGUCUCUUUGAAUUUUUACUGUAUCUUUGGUCUAGUCUGUCCUUUUUGUUCUUUAUUUCUGUCAAUUAUUUUUAAAAAAUCAGUUUAAGAGGGUUGUCUUUGGUCUUUACAGUCAACUUUUGGCCUAUAAAGAGGACACUGACUUUUUCCAGGGCCCACCCAAUAGAUGGAUUGUGGAUAUUUGUCGAGCAGGGCAGUCUUCCAUGGACUGUGAACAUCCUUGCACGUCUUCACUGAGUGUGUCAAACUGCAAGGUCUAGCCAGCCUCUGACCUUGAGCCAUUCCUGAAACUAGCCAGGUAGAUAAUUCUGAGAAGUAGGUAGGCACGCCCUAGGAUGACCACUGCACAAUGACCUGCUUCCUGGAAAAGAGCUACAGGCCCACUUAGCAUUUGCUCCAGAGUUGUUGAGUUCUUCACCCGGGGAUCCUUAGCUGUGGUACACACCUUGGUGUGCACAGGUGCCAUCCAGGCCUAUUAUGUCAUACCCUGGGACUUGGCACAGGCCACUUGUGCCACCAUGCUGAUGCUCCUGCUGUACAUUGUGCUAUGGAUAAUAAACUCCCUUCCUGUGAUUCACUAAAUUUCACUGGAAGGAUCCAGAACCUAUAAAGCUAAGGCAAACCAACUCAAAUUCCUUGCUUCAUUAACUCUGGAUUCUUGUUACUCUUACAUUCUCAAUAGUUUGAGUCCUUUUUCUGACCAUAUCCUAUUUUAUUCUGGGGUGAAAUAUUAUCUGUGGUUCCAUUUUUAUGCUUACCUCUAUUCAAACAGUCAGACUCCUUGAACAUGGAGGGUCCUCAACACUUCCCUGUUCUGCUGACCUUUACAAGCACAGUAACCGGACAUGUGUAUAACCUUGAGUUGACCGCCUUUGGGUACAUUUAGAGAACAAAUAGUUCUGGAAGGUUUCCUAAACGAUAUCCGGUCCCCAGAUCCAUUCCCAAGUGAUGGCUGGCUAUCAGAGAGGCAGGCUUUAGAACCACAGUGUUCUGCUCUCAUUGUUGAACUGCUUUUAUGGAAUCAGUGGUGUUUUGUUGGGGCACAACAAUGAAUCUGCAAUGAGAUUCUCACUUGGACAAAACAUGUGAACUGCAUGUAUUUUUUUGUAUUUAUAGAAACCAGCUUAAAUCUCUUCUAGGGAAUAUAGUUAUAAGUGAACAGAGUGAAUAAAUAAGCAAAUGAACACAAUUUGAGAAAACUGCAUUUUCAAGUGAUGGGGAUAUAAAAGGAAGGAGAAGGAAUGAAUCUUUUUGGAACACCCAUUAUAUGCCAGGCUCCUUUUCAGAUGAUUUACCAACAUCAUAUUAUUUAAUGUUUUCUUUUUACAACCCCAGUAGGUGGAGAUUAUUAGUCCCAUUUUACAGAGGAGAAAAUUUGUCAGAGAGGUAUUUGCUUUAUAAUGGCAACACCAAGAUUCAAACUCAGGAGCGUCUAAUACCUGUUUUGUUUUUUUCCCCCCAUCAGGACUCAUGUUUAAAUUAUUUAGGAAAAUAUUAUUCCUUCUUUUCCUCAGCUGUAGUCAAGAUGAAAACCACAGAGUAUAAACCAAACUACUUCCCUCUUCCUGUCUAAAUCGUCCUUGAAGUUUCUCCUUAUAAUGUGUGCUCCUGCUGCCACCUGCUGGCAGCCUCACUCAUCAUACUUGUCUUUGUGAACCCCUUAAUAAAGGAGAAACCAUCUGAAAACCAUCCAAAAAAGGCAAGAAGCCGAAUGCAGACAACCAGCUGAUAAAGUGAGUUAAACAAUAAGGGAGGAAUAAAUUGUCCACUUUCCCUUCAGAUAAAUCCUUUCUCCUUUGAAGCUGCUCAGUUUUCCUCAGAUUUCACCUCUUUCCAGAUAUGGAGAGAAAGCUCAGAUUCAGACAUCUGGGCCACUUAGGUUUGAAGGGUGGUCUCUUGAUAAAUGGGGGUAUCCAGGGGCCCCUGUGGGCAACACUGACCACCAUGUUGGCCACCAACAAACCAGUGGAUAGCAAACAGUGCCUCCACCGAGAAGGGGCUUAGUGGCCGGCCGAGUCAGGGUGGCCUUCCCACCGAGGGCAGCCCCCAGGAAUGAGGGCACCGCUAGUCCUGUCCACCACCUGUGCAGAUAGGACCAUGGGGGGAUGCCAUCGCCUUUGUCAAAGACAGACAGACACAGACAUGUCCUGCAAAUCAUCAUGAUUUGUCAUCUAGGGUGGAUGGGUCAGAUUUCUGUUUUUCUUUGUUUCCCUUUUCUCCACAAAAUGGGGAAAAAUCCAUCCCGGGGGAGCGGAGGAGCUCAUUUCUGAUUGAUGGGGAAGAAGAAAGCAGGAAUUGUUGUCAGGACAAUUAGGAGCUCAUCAAAGCCUCAUUUUGCUCAUCAGCCAUCAUGGCCCUUGUCCUGUACCCCCGCACGGUCCUCUAAUUCAACGCCCCCCUAAUGAAUAACUCCCAGGAACAAAAGGCCCUUUCAGGCUGCCGCACAUAAUUAUUAGAGGAGCCUGGCCUGACUGUCGCAGGGUACUCCUGUUUUCAGGCCUGUCUCUAAAUUUGGUUAUUCACAACCUUUACAGCUCAAUAUUAUUGCCUAACUGUGAUCAUUUUCUAAUUAUCCUAAUAAUACCUAUUAAAUAAUUCCCAUUAAAUCACUUGAACCGGAGCAGCAGAGGCCAGCUCAAAUACAACUUAACCUAAUAAGCAUUGGUCAUUCAUUAAGCAACAGGGCAAUCUCUUAAAGGGACUGGAUAGAAUAUUGAACUGCAAAGGAAUAUUAUUAUUACACAAAUGUUAUUAUGAGUUACAGUGUAUUAAUUCUGAUGGCCUGGCUUACAACUCUUCCUGUGGGUCUCCAGGAAGGCCAUACUCCAUGACUUGACUCUUUUUUGUCUCCACCCCCCCCCCCUUGUUGAUCUGUAUCUGUCACCCCCACAAGGAUAUUCAAGGACAAAAAGGCCCAUAAACUUAACAGGGGAAUUAAAUUAACAAGGACAUAGAGGGAAUGAAUGGAAUCCAUCUUCUGACGGGCUUGGCACGCCUUUGAAAACACUAUCCACUGGCAGGAUUUCUUUAGGUGAAAUUCAAAAUAGCUAGCUAGCUAGCUUGCUUUGCUUUUUCUUUUUCUUUCUUUCUUUUCUUUUCUUUUUUUUUUUUUUUUUACAACUGGUAUGAGGGAAAUUUUCAAAAGAAGCUUUAGAAAUUUGGUAUCUAUGAUUUAAAUUUCAAACAGUCAAGAUUAGAAAGACAGUUCUUUAAACGUAUAUGUGUGUGGAGACUUAAUAUUUUGCAAAAUAAGAUUAGGUAGUGUUUGUUGGAUGCCAGCACUCUAGUAGACACCCUGGUAGAUGUUUGCCCAUCAACUUCUUAAUUCUCAAAAUGACUUGACAAUACAGGAAUUAUCAUCUCCAUCUUUCAGAUAGGAAUCUGGGGCCAGAGACAUUAAGCAACUUUCCCAAUUCUGCCCAGCCUAAUGGGAGCAGAACCAUGUCACAUGUUGACCUGUGUUCCUACUGGCAAACGGACACAGGCCCCAGCUCUGCUGGUGUGUCCUUUUCACUUCCCAGGCUUUUUGCUGCAACCAAGAGAUUCCUACAGAUAAGUACUGAUGAGGAGGUUCUCUUUACAAGGAAAUCCAGUGUAAAUUAGUAAGAAAAGGAAAAAAAAAACUUGAUUAAUCAUUCACUGGAUGCCAGGCCCUGAGCGAGGGGUUUUGUGUGAGCUGUUUUAGCUAAUCCUUGGUGCAAGCUCAAGAAGCAAGUCUGGUCAUCACUCCCACUUAAGGAAACUGAGCCCUCACUGGUGAAUUCCUGUUCUUCCUCCCGAUUCUCAUCUUGCACACCACCUUUCCCAAGGAGCCUGGCCUGAUCACUCUCUCCCUCUAAGAUCUUGGUUCACUGGCACGGCCCCCUCAUGCUAUUAUAGCUCUCAUACUGUACUGUGCUCCACCUGUUCACCUGUCUCUGUCUCUCAGUGGACAAAUGGACUAUAAACUUCUCAAGGCAGAAACGUUGUCAUACCCAUCACCGUAGUGUGAUGGGUAUGUGCCUUCAUGUCCAGCACGUGGCAGGAGUUCAGGGAUGGGCUCGAUUUGAAUGUAGGAGUCUGAAGCUCCGUGGGCCAUUCCCAUUUAUUGCUUUUACCUAAGUCCAGGCAAGGGCUGAUUCAAUUCAGCAUCAUGUAUAAUUUCUUCUUUAAUCAUCAUUUCAGUUUAUAAGGCAGAAAAGCACUCGCAUGUCAGUUUUCGAUGAGAAAAAAUGAAAGUUUAUAAAGGUUUACAACGUGACUAGCCCCAGGUGAUACAGAAGGAAAAGAGAGAAACCAGGACUUUAACUGAGCUUGGAAUCACUUCCAAAAAUUGCUCAAAUUCCCAAAUAUUUCCCCUGCAUGUAUCUUAAACCCUGAAUUGCAAAGGACAUUUAUGCUAGCCAGAAUAGAGGCUGCAUGUCUCAAAGAGCAGUGACAAGGUCCACCAGCUGACCAAUGCCCAGAGGAACUUCAUAUUGAACCACCAGGUAGGUUUUUCUUCCCCCCCCGGUGCUUGCUUUCUUUUUUUAAUUCUGAAAUGGUCUUGCUAAGUUUCUCAGCAUCUCACUAAGUUGUUGAGACUGUCCUCAAAUUUGGAAUCCUCCUGCCAAGUUGCUGGGAUUAUAGGCAUGCACCUCCAAGCACAGCCACUAUGGGAUUUUUAAAGUGUGAAGCAGGAAUGUGAACUUAGGAUAUAGAAAAACUAGACAAAAGGAGGGAAGUUAGUGUAAACGAUAUAUACCUUUAGGUAUUAGUAAGAGAAAUAAAUUUAGCCUUUUGUUUUCUAUUUUCUAGUCAGGCAUGCAAAGGAAAAAUAUUAGUGUAAAAUGGGAUGAUUUCCAGCAUACCCUAGUGACACAGCCACAUGAAUGUUGAUAGCAGCUCAAUUCACAAUAGCUAAGCUAUGGAACCAACCUAGGUGCCCUUCAACAGAGGAAUGGACUUAAAAAAUGCGGUAUAUACACACAAUGGAAUAUUACUCAGCUAUAGAGAAGAAUGAAAUUAUGGCAUUUAACAGUAAAUGGAUGGAACUGGAGAUUAUCAUGAUAUGUAAAAUAAACCAAUCCCCCCCAAACCAAAGGUUAAAUUUCUCUCUGAUAUUCGGAUGCAAACAUACAAUAAGAGAAGGAGGGAAGAACAGAAGUUCAUUGGCUUCAACAAAGAGAAAUGAAGGGAAGGGACGGGGAAUGAGUAUAGGAAAGACAGUAGAAUGAAUCAGACAUAAAUUUUCCAUGUUCCUAUAUGAAUACACGACCAGUAUAACUCCAUACCAUGUACAACCACAAGAAUGGGAAGUUAUACUUCAUUAUGUAAAAAUGUCAAAAUGCAUUCUAUUGUCAUGUAUACAAAUAAAAAUAAGUUAUUUAAAAAAAAAAAAAAAGCUUAAAAAAAAGUGUGAAGCAGAUGUGGACUCAGCACUACUUGUCCACGUUGACAGAUCUCUGGGGGGACGGGACAUGUUCUUUGUUUUGCCCCUAGGAUAGGACCAGCACCAUUCUCAAACCGUAGACUAAGACCCGCACCCCGUUGCUUGGGUGCCGUACCUGCUUCUCCUCGCAGUGCCUUCUCCAGCCUCACGCCCUGGAUCUCGGAAGCCCUCUGCCGCUCCUCUACCUCCUCCAGCUGCCUCUGGAUGGCCUGCAACACCAGGAUCACACAUUACGAGGGAGCACUGGACACAUAUCAAGGGGGCUGAUUGUGCCACUGGCUCUCCAGGAGGAAGAGGCGCUGUCGCGAGUGACCUUACUGCCUUCAUGUCCUGGCCAAGGGCCUCGGAAUUCCCAGACCAGCAGACCUUAAUGUUCCCUGUGUUUUCCAUCUGCUGCCAAGUACAUUAUCAAAACAGUCCCCUGAUAAGGUCAGGCACACUGGAGUCCUCCAGGAUGGGACUGCAGGGAUUGUAGGUGGUGCUCGUGGUUCCUGGGUUCCUUGGAGCCCAUAGCCUCUGACUAUGGCCAUAGCAUAAUGAUCCGGACUGCAGAAUACGAGCUCAGAGAAGUAUGUCCAGGUUCUAUUUUCUCAAGGAGAGCCAGCAGACACUUCUCCAGAAUAUGAUAUGGGCAGGAGACCUGCUCAGCUUCUGGGGUUCAGGAUUAUCCUGCUACUGUCCUUAGCCACAAAUGGCACCUACGCUUUUCUUGCACCUCAGGCUGAUGCCCAGGGUUCUGUCACUGUAGAAGUGUACUGUGGCUUUGUGACAAGCAAGUUAUUAAGACAAGACACAUGAUGUUUAUUUAACACAUUAAGGGACAACUCAUACUCUCCUUAGACUCUCCAUAGCACCUAUUAAGGUUUGGGGUCACGACUGGGCUGGCAUUAAUACAUUUAUUUUCCCUGCUAGCUAUUAUUCCUUGAAGUCUGUUGGGAAGGAGAGCUAGGGAAAGCCUUUCCUAUAUAAUUUUCUUUAUCCUCAUCAAUUUUCUCUGCUACCUCACACCAGACCCAUGCUGCCCAAAGGGACAUCCUUUGGCAAAAUGGAUUUUGCACCUGUCAGAAGAGAAACGUUGAAGGAACUGUCAGCUGUCUGGGCAGGCAGGACACCUGCAUUCUUUUUCUAUUGGACUUCUGCACUGUCUCAUUCCUUCCUCCUUAACCCACAUGCUUUUCCUUCUCCCCUGGAACCACGGGCACAGUAGCCAAGGCAUCAUUGAUCCCGUGAAGAGACCCAACCAGGGGGUGGGUUCUGAGCAGCCCCCUGGCUCUCUUGUCCCAGCUAAGAGUAUUCAAGUUCAAAACAUAAAGUCUGACAUAGACAGAGAUUCUGUCUAUAAUUACUUAUAAUUUCAUGCCCUCUUCCUUUCUGUCUGUCCUUUAAUGACAUUAUUGUACCUUUAUAAAUCCAUCUCUUGCAAGUGUGCUGUAGAAUUACUAAGAAGGGAAGCUGUUAAAUGACUUUACUACUGAUGCCUGUGCAGUACAGCUAUAUGAUUGUUAGGGACUAAAUUCUGUUUUCCCCAAAUUCAUAGUUGAGGCCCUAAGUCCCAGUGGGGCUGUAUUUGGAGACAGGGUCUAGAAGGAGCCAGUAAUGGUCACGUGAGGUCACAAGGAUGGGGCCCUGAUCUGAUAGGUCUGUCCUUAUAAGAAGAGGAAGAGACAACAGAGGUCUCUCUCUCCACAUGUGCACUUGCAGAAGAUCAUGUGCGGACCCAGCCAGGGCAGCUGUCUGCCAGCCAGGAAGAGACUUCACCACUCUCCAAGCUGAAUGGCACCUUGAUGUUAGACUUGCAGCCUCCAGAAGGGUGGGAAGACCCAUGUCUGUUGUUUAAGCCCCACCAGUCUGUGGCAUUUGGUGAUGGCAGCCCAAGCAGACCUACGCAGUGGUGAGUCUUUAAAAAGAAGGGUGAACUCAGAGAUCAAAGAGGGCCACCACGGGUGCUAGCAGGUUAGGACUCAAAAGACCAUUGUAAUUCUUCUUACUGCCUGAAGUGAGAAAUUGCAAGACCUGCCAAUCAGUGUCAUAUAGACAUGUCUUGCUCUUAGAAGGACAAGUGGAAACAUUUUUAAGGAAACCUGUUUUAGAAGUUGAGAGCGGAAAGAGGGGAAUUUAUAGAGUCAUUCCUGUCCAGGAUGUGGAAGUGGCCCUGAGUCAGUUACUGAGAAAGAUCAUGGAAGCUGGUAAAAGGACUCAUUCUUGGCAGGAGCUAUUUAAGGAUGCUGUAGUUUGGAUCUGUAAUGUUCCCCAAAGGCCUACAUAUUAAAGGCUUGGUCCCCAGCCCCCCAGCCCAUGGUGCUAUUUGGAGGUGGUGAAACCUCUAGGAGGUGGGGCCUACUGGAAGGAAGUUAUAUCAUUGAGAUGUGCCCUUGAAGGGGAUAUUGGGAUUCCAGCUCCUCUUCUGUCUCUCUCUUUGCUUCCCAGCCACCAUGAGGUGAGCAGGUUGCUCCAGUACACAUUCCCACCAUGACGGCUGUGUCACCACAGGCUCAAAGGAACAGGACCACUAAUCAUGAACUAGGCUCUCUGAAACUAUGAACCAAAAUAAACCCUUUUUCUUUUUCAGUUGAUUAUGUCAGGUAUUUUGUUACAGUAAUGGGAAGCUGACUAACACACAGGGUUACAUGACUAGAUAAAAGGAAAAAGGGAGGGAAGGGUACAUGAAUUAACAUGAGUGGUCAUUCUAAGUCCUUAUAUCCUCAAAUCCAGCUAUUCUUCAAGACAUGGCUUGGGGUCUUCAGGAAGAUGGAGGAUGCCUAGAUUUUCUGUUUUAUUUUGCCUGUUGGCAAUGACCUUGGGCAGAAAUGUUUGGAGUAAACCAUCAGGCCAGGAAAUCUGUAUUGGAGUGCUGGAUACAGAUGCUUUCAACAAAUCCUGAAAUAGAGACAGCUCCCAUUAGCUGUCAUCUUAGCAAAGACAUUCAGGGAGUUGAUGGAAGAUAUGUGUCCUCAGAGGACAAAGCCAAGGUCACUGUUAUAAGGCAGUCAGGGUUCAGGGUGAUUCCCAAGGCCAUAUGCAGAUUCUUGUCUCAGCUUUGCUUUGCAGAACACACGUCUGCAGAUGGAAAGGUGGCUGGGAGUAGGCCAGCUCAGCACCUGGCCCAAAGUCCCACUAGGGACUGGGCCAAGGCCUUUAGAAAGCCACACACCUGGUCCCUCAGAGAAGAGACGGGCCUUUCCCAGAAAGCCCACCUCCCCAACACAGCACAGACCCCGAGGGGCCUUCCCAUGCAGCCCCAGGCCCACUUGCUCAUCUCAUGUCUAUCUUCUGACCUGAGCUUUAUAAAGUCUUUUCAACUCUUCUUGCUUAACCAAUUGCCUUGUUGCUUUUUCCAGUUUCCUCCUUCUUCUGAGUAUCUUCUCUUCCUAAGGGAAACAAUAGAGAAGGAAAAAUAAGACUGCUAAAAGCAGGACUGAAAUUUACAAAUUGUCUUCACAGUCUUCCGCCCUUCCACAGCUCCCAGCCAUUGGCUUAGCUUCUAGGAUGAUGGCAUCCUCUAUCACUUCCGGCAGAGAUGGAAAUAAGCUGUAUCCGUGCUGUAUAAAAUAUGGCCCUCUGUGCCUAUCAGACACUGGAAAUGAGACGAAUGUGAAGAAGAAAUUGAAUUUUAAAUUUAAUUUUAAUGAAUUUAAGUGGCCACACAUGGCUAGUGGGUGUCAGAAUGUAAGUGUGUGUGUGUGUGUGUGGGGGGGAGGAUAGGUGGGAGAGGCUUUAAUCAAGUACUAACUAGGUUUAGCUCAGUUGAAGAAUGAAAUAAUAGAAUAAUUAGACUUAUAUGGGUGCUUCCACCCUGCCCAGGGAUGAUGGCCCCAGGCAGGCAGGCAUACACACACACACACACACACACACACAAUGAACACCAGUUGAAAACUUUAAACAGUACUAAAGUUGGGUCUACAAUAUAUAAAUAAACUUAUAAACAGGAGAAUGUAUCUACAUAAUUCAAAGUAAAGUGUUUCUUGGUUUUGAAACAUUUGGCAUAAGGCUACUUCCCAUCCGUACCUCACUUUGCUUGUACAAAUACAGCAUUAUCAUCAUGGGUUUUGUGUAUGCCUGGACUUGUUCAAAGACAGAAAGAGGGGGAAAAAAGAAUAUCCAGUACUGAUCCAUGUAAAACAGAUGUCUGGCUCUCGAUGGUGCCACUCCCAAGGUUUUAGAUACCAAGGAAAGAAGAAGUGGUGGUGUGGCACUUCUACCAAUUGGAGAUUUUCCUGAUCAGAGAAGCAGCAGAGCAAUGGCCCCGACCUGGGCCAAGAAAAGCUGCCAUCAAUUCCCAGAGGAGCUGUGUGAACUUCAGAAGAUUCCUCAGCUUUCUGAAUGCCAGAGUCCUCUUCCAAGUGAUGAGGAGGAUUCAAUGCCCACCUCGAAGGGAUACAACAAGGGCAAAGCGAGAUGAUGUGGGCAAGCGCUUUGCAGAAGGCUCAGAAAAAGAGAUCAGACUAUAAUCAAUAACAUGAUUUUCACUACCAACAUAUUAUUUUGUAUUAUAAAUCAACAUGACUAUGUUCUACUAAAAUCUAUUACUUUUUGGGUGUAGGAGUAUGUUUUAAACCACACACACACACACCCGGUAUAGUUAAGAUAAAUGUUCAAAUUGGGCUAGUUUUACUGUGAGUUUACCUUCUCUGAACAAACACAUCAACUUUAUACAUAUUAGAAUGAGGAUUAUAACAUGCUAGACCUUACUUUUCAAUACUGGAAGAAACAAAUAUGGAACUUAUUUUUUAUAUUUUAAUUGACAUGUAGUGACUAUACAUAUUUAUGGGGUCUAGUGAGAUACUUUAAUGCAUUUAUAAAAUGUGCAAUGAUCAUAUCAGGGGAACUGGCAUAUCUAUUAUCUCAGAAAACAAAUAGGGAAUUUAAAAAUUGCUGCAACUAGCUUCAUAUCCGGGCACUCAAAGACUGUGAUGAUUAUUUUCUCAUUCAAUGAUUGUCAAUCCAUAAAUGGGGAAUAGAGAUUUAAAGACCUACUGCCAGGGCAAUCUGGGUCCAAACCAGAGGUCAGAGACUAUUCUUUGAAAGCACUUAUGCUUCAGGGCCUUGUGGUUCUCUCUGUCACCUCCUUGGCUACGGAUGGAGAAACCAUCACGAGCAUCCAGUUUGAAGCCUCCGGAAGCUUUGCCCAUUAUCAGUGGAAACAUUCACUUUAAAAAUGAGAUUUGAUUUUCUUGAAUUCUCCUUAGGACCUAAAUCCUGAAGCUAUUCAUGCUGGGAAAAAAUAUUUUGGCUCUCAGAACCCAAUUUUUCUUAUAUUACAUCAUCUUUGUUUCUUUGGGAAUCCUUCCAGAUGACUAUCAAUCAGCCUGAAGAGGGGUUUCAGGCCUUUUGCAUGGGGAACCCUUCAGUUGGUAGCUAGGAUCUUUGAGGAGAGGCUGGUGCAGGGAGAGAGGUGGUAGGGAUCAACAAGCUGCGAUCCAGAGAAGACCAACUCAACCUGUAUGGAAAAUAAAUUCAUUGACUUAACAAGUA
Molecule: long non-coding RNA, 11803 nt
Organism: Marmota monax (woodchuck)
Lineage: Eukaryota; Metazoa; Chordata; Mammalia; Rodentia; Sciuridae
Exons: 5
Source: RefSeq, a predicted model, not a curated record